CAUGGCUGUCGUCAGCUCGUGUCGUGAGAUGUUCGGUUAAGUCCGCUAACGAGCGCAACCCUCGCUGUAUGUUACAUGUGUCAUACAGGACCGCCGGUAUCAAGCCGGAGGAAGGUGGGGAGUGACGUCAAGUCCGCAUGGCCUUUAUGUCCGGGGCUACACACACGCUACAAUGGUCGGUACAAUGGGUUGCUAAGCCGCGAGGUGGAGCCAAUCCCCCAAAGCCGGCCUCAGUUCAAGAUUGCAGGCUGCAACUCGCCUGCAUGAAGCUGGAGUUGCUAGUAAACGCGCGUCAGCUAUAGUGCGUUGAAUACGUUCUCGGGCCUU
RNAcentral lists this ribosomal RNA (327 nucleotides) under uncultured Anaerolineaceae bacterium. Its description in RNAcentral is "bacterial SSU rRNA". It matches the Rfam family "Bacterial small subunit ribosomal RNA", at positions 1044 to 1382 of the family's 1533-position model. Lineage: Bacteria; Bacillati; Chloroflexota; Anaerolineae; Anaerolineales; Anaerolineaceae. The record is from RNAcentral.